ACAUGCAGAGAACUUCAGAGAUGGAUUGGUGCCUUCGGGAACUCUGACACAGGUGCUGCAUGGCUGUCGUCAGCUCGUGUCGUGAGAUGUUGGGUUAAGUCCGUAACGAGCGCAACCCUUGUCCUUAGUUACCAGCACGUUAUGGUGGGCACUCUAAGGAGACUGCCGGUGACAACCGGAGGAAGGUGGGGAGUGACGUCAAGUCAUCAUGGCCCUUACGGCCUGGGCUACACACGUGCUACAAUGGUCGGUACAAAGGGUUGCCAAGCCGCGAGGUGGAGCUAAUCCCAUAAAACCGAUCGUAGUCCGGAUCGCAGUCUGCAACUCGACUGCGUGAAGUCGGAAUCGCUAGUAAUCGUGAAUCAGAAUGUCACGGUGAAUACGUUCCCGGGCCUU
RNAcentral lists this ribosomal RNA (396 nucleotides) under uncultured Pseudomonas sp. RNAcentral describes it as "bacterial SSU rRNA". It matches the Rfam family "Bacterial small subunit ribosomal RNA", at positions 984 to 1382 of the family's 1533-position model. Lineage: Bacteria; Pseudomonadati; Pseudomonadota; Gammaproteobacteria; Pseudomonadales; Pseudomonadaceae. The record is from RNAcentral.